This 378-nucleotide ribosomal RNA is filed under the name uncultured eukaryote. Its description in RNAcentral is "partial 18S ribosomal RNA". It matches the Rfam family "Eukaryotic small subunit ribosomal RNA", at positions 592 to 976 of the family's 1831-position model. The record is from RNAcentral.
CAAUAGCGUAUAUUAAAGUUGUUGCAGUUAAAAAGCUCGUAGUUGGAUUUCUGGGUCAGCAGCGGCGCCACCACGUGUGAGCAGCUGCAGCUGUGCCCAUCCUUUGUGGAGACUGCUUCUGGCAUUCACUUGUUGGGAGUAGGGUCCGCAUCAGUUACUGUGAGCAAAUUAGAGUGUUCAAAGCAGGGUGGCUGCCCUGAAUACACUAGCAUGGAAUAACAGACACGCCGUUGGGGUUGUGUUCUGUUGGUUUGAGCCCCAAAGGAAUGAUUAAUAGGGACAGUUGGGGGUAUUCAUAUUCCAUUGUCAGAGGUGAAAUUCUUGGAUUUAUGGAAGAUGAACCACUGCGAAAGCAUUUACCAAGGAUGUUUNCAUUAA